CACUCCUGCGGGAGGCAGCAGUGGGGAAUAUUGGACAAUGGGCGCAAGCCUGAUCCAGCCAUGCCGCGUGAGUGAUGAAGGCCCUAGGGUUGUAAAGCUCUUUCACCGGAGAAGAUAAUGACGGUAUCCGGAGAAGAAGCCCCGGCUAACUUCGUGCCAGCAGCCGCGGUAAUACGAAGGGGGCUAGCGUUGUUCGGAAUUACUGGGCGUAAAGCGCACGUAGGCGGAUCGAUCAGUCAGGGGUGAAAUCCCAGGGCUCAACCCUGGAACUGCCUUUGAUACUGUCGAUCUGGAGUAUGGAAGAGGUGAGUGGAAUUCCGAGUGUAGAGGUGAAAUUCGUAGAUAUUCGGAGGAACACCAGUGGCGAAGGCGGCUCACUGGUCCAUUACUGACGCUGAGGUGCGAAAGCGUGGGGAGCAAACAGGAUUAGAUACCCCUGUAGUCCCAUGA
This 450-nucleotide ribosomal RNA is filed under the name uncultured organism. RNAcentral describes it as "partial 16S ribosomal RNA". It matches the Rfam family "Bacterial small subunit ribosomal RNA", at positions 334 to 800 of the family's 1533-position model. The record is from RNAcentral.